UGGGGAAUUUUGCGCAAUGGGCGAAAGCCUGACGCAGCAACGCCGCGUGGAGGAUGAAGGUCUUCGGAUCGUAAACUCCUGUCAGUAGGGACGAAUGCUUCGCAAGAAGUUUGACUGUACCUGCUGAGGAAGCCACGGCUAACUCCGUGCCAGCAGCCGCGGUAAUACGGAGGUGGCAAGCGUUGUUCGGAAUUACUGGGCGUAAAGGGCGCGUAGGCGGCUUAGCAAGUCAGAUGUGAAAUCCCUAAGCUUAACUUGGGAAUUGCAUCUGAAACUGUUGAGCUUGAGUCCUGGAGGGGAUAGUGGAAUUCCCAGUGUAGCGGUGAAAUGCGUAGAUAUUGGGAGGAACACCUGCGGCGAAGGCGGCUAUCUGGACAGUGACUGACGCUGAGGCGCGAAAGCUAGGGGAGCGAACGGG
RNAcentral lists this ribosomal RNA (418 nucleotides) under uncultured Acidobacteriota bacterium. RNAcentral's name for it is "bacterial SSU rRNA". It matches the Rfam family "Bacterial small subunit ribosomal RNA", at positions 355 to 776 of the family's 1533-position model. The record is from RNAcentral. Lineage: Bacteria; Pseudomonadati; Acidobacteriota.